UGGGGAAUUUUGCACAAUGGGGGCAACCCUGAUGCAGCGACGCCGCGUGAUUUAGAAGGCCUUCGGGUUGUAAAAAUCUUUUGUAUGGGAAGAAAAUGACAGUACCAUACGAAUAAGGACCGGCUAAUUACGUGCCAGCAGCCGCGGUAAUACGUAAGGUCCGAGCGUUUUCCGGAAUCAUUGGGCGUAAAGGGUACGUAGGCGGAUAAGCAAGUUAGAAGUGAAAUCCUAUAGCUCAACUAUAGUAAGCUUUUAAAACUGCUCAUCUUGAGGUAUGGAAGGGAAAGUGGAAUUCCUAGUGUAGCGGUGAAAUGCGCAGAUAUUAGGAGGAAUACCGGUGGCGAAGGCGACUUUCUGGCCAUAAACUGACGCUGAGGUACGAAAGCGUGGGUAGCAAACAGG
RNAcentral lists this ribosomal RNA (402 nucleotides) under Actinomycetes bacterium. RNAcentral describes it as "Actinobacteria bacterium partial 16S ribosomal RNA". It matches the Rfam family "Bacterial small subunit ribosomal RNA", at positions 355 to 776 of the family's 1533-position model. Lineage: Bacteria; Bacillati; Actinomycetota; Actinomycetes. The record is from RNAcentral.